GUUGACCUCGAAUCAGGUAGGACUACCCGCUGAACUUAAGCAUAC
Molecule: ribosomal RNA, 45 nt
Filed under: Beauveria bassiana
Lineage: Eukaryota; Fungi; Ascomycota; Sordariomycetes; Hypocreales; Cordycipitaceae
Description: partial 28S ribosomal RNA
Source: RNAcentral